CAGCCGCCGCGGUAAUACAGAGGGUGCAAGCGUUAAUCGGAUUUACUGGGCGUAAAGGGCGCGUAGGUGGUUAUUUAAGUGAGAUGUGAAAGCCCCGGGCUUAACCUGGGAACUGCAUCUUAUACUGGGUAACUGGAGUGCAGUAGAGGGUAGUGGAAUUUCCGGUGUAGCGGUGAAAUGCGUAGAUAUCGGGAGGAACAUCAGUGGCGAAGGCGGCCAUCUGGGACAACACUGACGCCGAGGCACGAAAGCGUGGGGAGCAAACAGGAUUAGAUACCCGUGUAGUCCCUGUCUCUUAUAC
RNAcentral lists this ribosomal RNA (301 nucleotides) under uncultured bacterium. RNAcentral describes it as "partial 16S ribosomal RNA". It matches the Rfam family "Bacterial small subunit ribosomal RNA", at positions 509 to 807 of the family's 1533-position model. The record is from RNAcentral.